GGUGGCUCAGUGGUAGAGUGCUUGCCUCAUAUGCAUGAGCCCUGGGUUCGAUUCCUCAGCACCA
Non-coding RNA from Dipodomys ordii (Ord's kangaroo rat), 64 nucleotides. The record is from Rfam. Lineage: Eukaryota; Metazoa; Chordata; Mammalia; Rodentia; Heteromyidae.